Molecule: ribosomal RNA, 399 nt
Filed under: uncultured bacterium
Lineage: Bacteria
Description: bacterial SSU rRNA
Rfam family: Bacterial small subunit ribosomal RNA
Source: RNAcentral
GAUGAACGCUAGCGGGAGGCCUAAUACAUGCAAGUCGAACGGUAAGGUCCUUCGGAUACACGAGUGGCGGACGGGUGCGUAACGCGUACGGAAUAUACCUUCAACAGGGAGAUACCUCCGGGAAACUGGAAUUAAUACCCCAUAGUAUUAUAGAUUCGCAUGAAUUUAUGAUUAAAGCUCAGGCGGUUGAAGAUUAUCGUGCGUCUGAUUAGGUAGUUGGUAGGGUAAUGGCCUACCAAGCCGACGAUCAGUAGCUGGUCUGAGAGGAUGAUCAGCCACACUGGAACUGAGACACGGUCCAGACUCCUACGGGAGGCAGCAGUAGGGAAUAUUGGGCAAUGGAGGCAACUCUGACCCAGCCAUCCCGCGUGCAGGAAUAAGGCCCUAUGGGUUGUAAAC